Molecule: ribosomal RNA, 551 nt
Filed under: Nanokerala nr. browni 00052228
Lineage: Eukaryota; Metazoa; Arthropoda; Insecta; Hemiptera; Reduviidae
Description: eukaryotic LSU rRNA
Rfam family: Eukaryotic large subunit ribosomal RNA
Source: RNAcentral
CACGGACCAAGGAGUUUAUCGUGUGCGCAAGUCAUUGGGUGAAUAAAACCCAAAGGCGAAAUGAAAGUAAAGGGGGAGACUGUACCUCCUUUUCGGGAAGACAGAGGUCCCAUACGAACAUUGUUCAUAAGGUUGAUUUCUCGUACUCCCGGGGCGCUUGUUUCUCGCUUUGCGAGUCUAUGCGCACCUAGAGCGUACACGCUGAUACCCGAAAGAUGGUGAACUAUGCCUGGCCAGGACGAAGCCAGGGGAAACCCUGGUGGAGGUCCGCAGCGAUUCUGACGUGCAAAUCGAUCGUCGGAGCUGGGUAUAGGGGCGAAAGACCAAUCGAACCAUCUAGUAGCUGGUUCCCUCUGAAGUUUCCCUCAGGAUAGCUUGCGCUCGGUUGAGACGAGUCUCAUCCGGUAGAGCGAAUGAUUAGAGGCAUUGGGGUCGAAACGACCUCAACCUAUUCUCAAACUCCAAAUAGAUGAGAACCUCGGCUUGCUUAAAAUUGAAGCCGUAGGAUUCGGAUCAGAGUGCCAAGUGGGCCAAUUUUGGUAAGCAGAACU